CAUGUCCGAGAGGGAAAGAACCCAGACCAUCAGCUAAGGUCCCCAAAUGUAUGCUAAGUUGAAAAAACGCGGUUUGAUUGCCCAGACAGCUAGGAUGUUGGCUUGGAAGCAGCCAUUCAUUUAAAGAGUGCGUAACAGCUCACUAGUCGAGCGAUCGAGCAUGGAUAAUAAUCGGGCAUAAGCAUACUACCGAAGCUAUGGAUUGUACAAUGUACAGUGGUAGGGGAGCAUUCUAAACCGGGUAGAAGGUGAUUUGUGAGAAUUGCUGGACUGUUUAGAAAAGAAAAUGUAGGCAUAAGUAACGAUAAUGCGGGCGAGAAACCCGCACACCGUAAGACCAAGGUUUCCGCAGCUAUGCUAAUCAGCUGCGGGUUAGUCGGGACCUAAGGCACACCCGAAGGGGGACGUCGAUGGCCAACGGGUUAAUAUUCCCGUACUUGUAAUAGUUGUGAUGGAGUGACGCAGUGGUGAAAGUACCGCGAACUGACGGAAUAGUUCGUUAAAGCACGUACCUAUAGGUUUGAUAGUAAAAUGCGUCAGACUUGGAGAAAUGCGAUAGUACUCGGAGCCUUCGGGCAAAGAGAUAGUGUACCUAAAGGCUGUCAAGAAAAGCUUCUAAACUUAGAUUAUUACAACCCGUACCGCAAACCGACACAGGUGGUCGAGGAGAGUAUCCUCAGGUGCUCGAGAGAUUCAUGGCUAAGGAAUUAGGCAAAAUAGACCUGUAACUUCGGGAGAAAGGUCGCCAGCAGCAAUGCUGGCCGCAGUGAAAAGGUCCAGGCGACUGUUUAUCAAAAACACAGGGCUCUGCCAAAUCGUAAGAUGAAGUAUAGGGCCUGACACCUGCCCGGUGCUGGAAGGUUAAGAGGAGAUGUUAUCUUCGGAGAAGCAUUGAAUUGAAGCCCCAGUAAACGGCGGCCGUAACUAUAACGGUCCUAAGGUAGCGAAAUUCCUUGUCGGGUAAGUUCCGACCUGCACGAAUGGUGUAACGAUCUGGACACUGUCUCAGCCAUGAGCUCGGUGAAAUUGUAGUAUCGGUGAAGAUGCCGAUUACCCGCAGUGGGACGAAAAGACCCUGUGCACCUUUACUAUAGCUUAGUAUUGUUCUUGGAUAAGUGAUGUGUAGGAUAGGUGGGAGACUGUGAAAUGGCGUCGCCAGGCGUUGUGGAGUCAUUGUUGAAAUACCACCCUUUGCUUAUCUGAGAUCUAACUCGGUAUGACGGAGGACAUUGCUUGGUGGGUAGUUUGACUGGGGUGGUCGCCUCCAAAAGAGUAACGGAGGCUUCUAAAGGUUCCCUCAGCACGCUUGGUAACCGUGCGUAGAGUGCAAUGGCAAAAGGGAGCUUGACUGAGAGACCAACAAGUCGAUCAGGUACGAAAGUAGAGCAUAGUGAUCCGGUGGUUCCGCAUGGAAGGGCCAUCGCUCAAAGGAUAAAAGGUACGCCGGGGAUAACAGGCUGAUCUCCCCCAAGAGCUCAUAUCGACGGGGGGGUUUGGCACCUCGAUGUCGGCUCGUCACAUCCUGGGGCUGGAGAAGGUCCCAAGGGUUGGGCUGUUCGCCCAUUAAAGUGGCACGCGAGCUGGGUUCAGAACGUCGUGAGACAGUUCGGUCUCUAUCUACUGUGGGCGUUAGAAAUUUGAGUGGAUCUGAUUCUAGUACGAGAGGACCGAAUUGGACCAACCUCUGGUGUAUCAGUUGUGCCGCCAGGUGCAUCGCUGAGUAGCUACGUUGGGAAGGGAUAAGCGCUGAAAGCAUAUAAGCGCGAAACCCACCACAAGAUGAGAUUUCU
RNAcentral lists this ribosomal RNA (1790 nucleotides) under bioreactor metagenome. Its description in RNAcentral is "bacterial LSU rRNA". It matches the Rfam family "Bacterial large subunit ribosomal RNA", at positions 1006 to 2814 of the family's 2925-position model. The record is from RNAcentral.